This 252-nucleotide ribosomal RNA is filed under the name uncultured microorganism. RNAcentral's name for it is "partial 16S ribosomal RNA". It matches the Rfam family "Bacterial small subunit ribosomal RNA", at positions 524 to 776 of the family's 1533-position model. The record is from RNAcentral.
UACGUAGGUCCCGAGCGUUGUCCGGAUUUAUUGGGCGUAAAGCGAGCGCAGGUGGUUUAAUAAGUCUGAUGUAAAAGGCAGUGGCUCAACCAUUGUGUGCAUUGGAAACUGUUAGACUUGAGUGCAGUAGAGGAGAGUGGAAUUCCAUGUGUAGCGGUGAAAUGCGUAGAUAUAUGGAGGAACACCAGUAGCGAAGGCGGCCAUCUGGCUGGUAACUGACGCUGAGGUGCGAGAGCGUGGGGAGCAAACAGG